AUUGAACGCUGGCGGCAGGCCUAACACAUGCAAGUCGAACGGUAACAGGAAACAGCUUGCUGUUUCGCUGACGAGUGGCGGACGGGUGAGUAAUGUCUGGGAAACUGCCUGAUGGAGGGGGAUAACUACUGGAAACGGUAGCUAAUACCGCAUAACGUCGCAAGACCAAAGAGGGGGACCUUCGGGCCUCUUGCCAUCGGAUGUGCCCAGAUGGGAUUAGUUAGUAGGUGGGGUAACGGCUAACCUAGGCGACGAUCCCUAGCUGGUCUGAAGGGAUACCCACCCACACUGGAACGGAGACACGGUCCAGACUCCUACGGGAGGCAGCAGUGGGGAAUAUUGCACAAUGGGCGCAAGCCUGAUGCAGCCAUGCCGCGUGGAUGAAGAAGGCCUUCGGGUUGUAAAGUACUUUCAGCGGGGAGGAAGGGAGUAAAGUUAAUACCUUUGCUCAUUGACGUUACCCGCAGAAGAAGCACCGGCUAACUCCGUGCCAGCCGCCGCAGUAA
RNAcentral lists this ribosomal RNA (506 nucleotides) under uncultured bacterium. RNAcentral describes it as "partial 16S ribosomal RNA". It matches the Rfam family "Bacterial small subunit ribosomal RNA", at positions 30 to 523 of the family's 1533-position model. The record is from RNAcentral.